CCUAAAAUUAUUGACUGUAGUGUAGGAAAGACAAGAAUAAAACCAACACCUGCACUGCCCAAGUAAUUACCUAGCCAGUUGUUUACCUUCAAUAUUAAUCUAUAUAAAAUAAAACCUCGUGCUAUAUACAAAUGAGUUAGUAGGUGGCAUAAUCUUUUUAUUUAUUAUGCUCGUUCUCACGCUAAAACGUAUUCUCGUAAAUAAUCUUACAGGCAAUGGCAUUGCCUUAUGAUGAUGAUGAAGGAAGAAAAUGAAAGAAAAGGAAUUAUGGAUACCAUACCACCCAGGAAGAUGACAGGGACAAGUUCACAUGAGCCCAACCAGAUAAUUAAUGGGCCCCCCUAUCCCAACCUCAACCCCUACUACUCCUAUAUACUUAUUUCCCUACAUAUAAAGUCUCUCUCUCUAGAGGGAAGCAAGCAUAUUUAUUGAAGAAUUGCUUUAACUUGAGAACCUUCCAUGGAGGUAUCUAGCACUUUUUCAGAAUUUUCCUUGUAUAAUAAUACCCCCAACCCUGUCUCUUAUUCUCUCUCUAUCUCCAUCUCUCUCUCAUUUUUUCUCUCUCUGAUCCGUAAAGGCUAAAGUUCAAGAAAAUGAAGCAGCAGAAGAACUAAACCACCUUGUUUCCUGAGUGAUCAUUUUCCACGUAGAUCGAUUAGCUAGUUGCAUUAUUAUACAUCAAUUGGAGACUCACAUGCAUAAUGAUUGAAAGAAGGCAAGAGAUCUGGUUUUUCUCAGUUACAAACUAGUGAAUCGGAGCUUGUACCGGAUAAAUUUGUACUGCGAUAAAGAAGAUUGAGUAGCAGAAGCUGUUUCUAGCUGCGAAACAACUAAUUAGGCGGGGAAGGAAGAGGCGAGAAUGAUGAUGAUAGAUAACAACGGCGGGGAGAACGAUGUGGAUGAAGUGAUAAUCGAAGGGAGGAGAAGAGAUGGACAUGUGAUAGUGGAGAAGGAGCAUAUGUUUGAUAAAGUGGUGACUCCAAGCGACGUUGGGAAGCUGAAUCGGUUAGUGAUCCCCAAACAGCAUGCUGAGAAGUACUUUCCUCUCGACUCAUCAACAAACGAGAAAGGCCUUCUGUUGAAUUUUGAAGAUAGGAGCGGGAAGCAGUGGCGGUUCAGAUACUCAUACUGGAACAGUAGCCAAAGCUAUGUGAUGACUAAAGGCUGGAGUAGGUUUGUCAAGGAGAAGAAGCUGGAUGCCGGUGAUGUUGUGUCGUUUCAAAGAGGCAUGGGGGAAAUUGGGAGAGACCGGUUGUUUAUUGACUGGAGACGACGCCCUGAUGCCCCCUCUUCCUCCGCCUCUAGCCACUACCACCACCUGCUGGGAACCGGUCUAGUUCCAUCAGCUAGUAGCCUGGCUCUGCAGCCUCAGUAUUACUCCAGCUUUCAACGCGCUUCGAAUGCUCCAUGGAGUCCAAGCUUGUUCUUGCAACAGCAACAGCAGCAGCCUUUAUCUUCCACCCCUCAGUACUAUCCUAAUUAUCCUCAUAAUUACCGGGACCAAUAUUCCUCCCACUUGUUGCUGCCUCCUCCACCAAAUGUCACUGGUCAUCAUAAUCCACAUUCACAUUUUUAUCACCCUACUAAUUACAUGAGUGCCACUCGCAGUACGGCUCAUCAUCAUCCUCUCGUAAGCCCAGCUGGUCCUUGUUCAGGCUCGGUAAUUUAUUACAACAGGUCUGCACCAUUCUCACAAGAGCAGGAGCAACAACACGAAGAAGAUGUUGAAAUGGCGCAAGCUCAAAGAGCAGGUUGGGGGGAAUUUGAACCGAAUGUGGUAUUCGAGUCAGUGCCAGUAGUACAUGGAAAAACUGCACCCAAAAGACUCAGGCUAUUCGGAGUGAACAUGGAAUGUCCAAUUAAUACCUCCGGUUCUUCCAAUUCAGACGAUAAUAUUAUUGUUGAAUGUGACAACAACAUGACAAUAUUGUCUUCUUCCUCAACCGCCAGUGCGAUGAACAUUCCCAAUAUAAGAACAUCCCAAGGCCCCUACCCUUAUAAUUUUUGUUCGUCUGCUCCUCCACAGCCUCUUCCCCCUCUUAUGAGCAACCCUUAUGAUACUUCUUCAUCCAAUAUUCCUUAUGUUCAAUUAAGUCCUCAGACCGCUACCACCAGUACAACAUCUACCCUCCAUGACUUGAUGAACAAAGGAAAAAUGUCCAUGUCCUUUGAUAGAAAUGAAGGACACAGCUGAAAUUCAACAAUGCCAUACUUACUAUCGCGGUUCGGUUCAGAUUGAAGGUGCACAUACAGGCCAAAAAUGGACGUAACCUGCGAUCAUAAAGUGAUGGUUGUGGGAUUGACCUUGAUCGCUAUUGUACUCGGUACUUUCUGUACAGUUAGUUUGUUGUCUUAAUUUGACUAAAGAUUAAAGUUAGCUGGGAUAUUGGGGCCAUUUGAAU
Molecule: RNA transcript, 2402 nt
Organism: Daucus carota subsp. sativus
Lineage: Eukaryota; Viridiplantae; Streptophyta; Magnoliopsida; Apiales; Apiaceae
Gene name: B3 domain-containing protein Os03g0120900
Exons: 4
Source: RefSeq, a predicted model, not a curated record